UGGGUUGGGGCUCAGUGGUAAAGUGCUUGCCUCACAGGCGUGAGGCCCUGGGUUCAAUCCUCAGCACCACAU
Molecule: non-coding RNA, 72 nt
Organism: Ictidomys tridecemlineatus (thirteen-lined ground squirrel)
Lineage: Eukaryota; Metazoa; Chordata; Mammalia; Rodentia; Sciuridae
Source: Rfam